UAAAUACUUCAUCCGUCCCAAAAUUCUUGUCUUAGAGUUGUCUAGAUAUGAAUGUAUCUAGUCACGUUUUAGUAUUUAGAUACAUCCAUUUUUAGACAUACCUAAAACAAGAAUUUUGAGACGGAGGGAGUAUGUG
Hordeum vulgare subsp. vulgare (domesticated barley) is the source of this 136-nucleotide non-coding RNA. Lineage: Eukaryota; Viridiplantae; Streptophyta; Magnoliopsida; Poales; Poaceae. The record is from Rfam.